RNAcentral lists this ribosomal RNA (398 nucleotides) under uncultured bacterium. RNAcentral describes it as "partial 16S ribosomal RNA". It matches the Rfam family "Bacterial small subunit ribosomal RNA", at positions 360 to 774 of the family's 1533-position model. The record is from RNAcentral.
AAUCUUGCGCAAUGGGCGAAAGCCUGACGCAGCAACGCCGCGUGAACGAUGAAGGCCUUCGGGUCGUAAAGUUCUGUCAGGGGGGACGAAAACUGACGGUACCCCCGGAGGAAGCUCCGGCUAACUACGUGCCAGCAGCCGCGGUAAUACGUAGGGGGCGAGCGUUGUCCGGAAUUACUGGGCGUAAAGGGUACGUAGGCGGCUAUAUAAGUCAGGUGUGAAAUACCAGUGCUUAACACUGGAAUUGCAUUUGAAACUGUGUAGCUUGAGUGCAGGAGAGGAAAGUGGAAUUCCUAGUGUAGCGGUGAAAUGCGUAGAGAUUAGGAGGAACACCAGUGGCGAAGGCGACUUUCUGGACUGUAACUGACGCUGAGGUACGAAAGCGUGGGUAGCGAACA